AGGAAGGCUUCCACGACUUCGGUCGCUUGGGGGCCUUUUUCUUUUGC
Molecule: non-coding RNA, 47 nt
Organism: Rhizobium sp. LC145
Lineage: Bacteria; Pseudomonadati; Pseudomonadota; Alphaproteobacteria; Hyphomicrobiales; Rhizobiaceae
Rfam family: ctRNA
About the family: This family represents a group of ctRNAs (or counter-transcribed RNAs) from p42d and related plasmids. ctRNAs are small, highly structured, antisense sequences which are involved in negative regulation. Members of this family are known to bind to the mRNA of repC causing translational repression.
Source: Rfam